CAAUAGCGUAUAUUAUUGCUGUUGCAGUUGAAACGUUCGUAGUCGAAUAUUGCCCACUUCAGCUUUGCCCCGUUGUUUGCGGAGCGUUGUGAUCGGUGGGGAGAGUGCAGCCAAUCGGGAGUUUCUCCUGGUUGCUCCUGCACCCUACUUUGAGUGAAUCGGCGUGUUCCACGCAGGCUAGUGCCUUGAACGAUUUACCAUAGUAUAACCAGAGUAUGAGGGUGUUUCCUUGUGGGUUCGGAAGCUCUUUCGACAACGAAAAGAACGGUUGAGGGCAUUCGUAUUCAACUGCUAGAGGUGAAAUUCUUUGAUUAGUUGAGGACGAACCAGUGCGAAAGCAUCUGCCAAGGACGUUUCUGUUGA
This 363-nucleotide ribosomal RNA is filed under the name uncultured eukaryote. RNAcentral describes it as "partial 18S ribosomal RNA". It matches the Rfam family "Eukaryotic small subunit ribosomal RNA", at positions 592 to 976 of the family's 1831-position model. The record is from RNAcentral.